GGCUGGUCUGAUGGUAGUGGGUUAUCAGAACUUAUUAGUAUCGCUAAAGUUGGUAUACAACCCCCCCACUGCUAAAUUUGACUAGCUUAAA
This 91-nucleotide Y RNA is filed under the name Callithrix jacchus (white-tufted-ear marmoset). Its description in RNAcentral is "Y RNA (ENSCJAG00000064654.2)". It matches the Rfam family "Y RNA". From Rfam's summary of the family: Y RNAs are components of the Ro ribonucleoprotein particle (Ro RNP), in association with Ro60 and La proteins. Lineage: Eukaryota; Metazoa; Chordata; Mammalia; Primates; Cebidae. The record is from Rfam by way of RNAcentral.